RNAcentral lists this ribosomal RNA (253 nucleotides) under uncultured bacterium. Its description in RNAcentral is "partial 16S ribosomal RNA". It matches the Rfam family "Bacterial small subunit ribosomal RNA", at positions 524 to 776 of the family's 1533-position model. The record is from RNAcentral.
UACAGAGGUCUCGAGCGUUAGGCGGAAUCACUGGGCUUAAAGCGUGUGUAGGCGGAUGCCUAAGUACCUUGUGAAAUCCCACGGCUUAACCGUGGAACUGCUUGGUAUACUGGGUGUCUUGAGCCACUCAGGGGCGAGCGGAACAAAUGGUGGAGCGGUGAAAUGCGUAGAUAUCAUUUGGAACGCCAAUGGUGAAAACGGCUCGCUGGGGGUGUGCUGACGCUGAGACACGAAAGCCAGGGGAGCGAACGGG